UAUUCCAUGCACGAACAUUCAAGCGAAACGCCUGUUUGAAGCACUCUGAUUUGUUCAAAGUAAACUCGCCAGCCCACCGACGCCGACCGGUAAAGGCCAACGCCGGGGAAAGACCGGCAGAAAAGCCAACCAAACCAGUAACACACAAAGUGUGCACCGGACGGCUAGCACAGAUCCAACUACGAGCUUUUUAACCGCAGCAAUAAUUCUAUGCAUUUUGAGAGCUGGAAUUACCGCGGCUGCUGGCACCAGACUUGCCCUCUCAUAGAUACUCGUUAAAGGGUUUAAAUUGUACCCAUUCCGAUGACCGGCCUCAUAAGAGAUCGGUCUCGUUAUUUCUCGUCACUACCUCCUCGCGUUGAGAGUGGGUAAUUUGCGCGCCUGCUGCCAUCCUUAGACGUAGUGGCCA
This 409-nucleotide ribosomal RNA is filed under the name Nematoda environmental sample. RNAcentral's name for it is "partial 18S rRNA". Lineage: Eukaryota; Metazoa; Nematoda. The record is from RNAcentral.